GUUGGGUAAGGUGGCACAUGCCUGUAAUCCCAGCAACUUGGGAGGCUGAGGCAGGAGGAUUUCGAGGCCCUAAGCAACUUGUCUCUA
Molecule: small RNA, 87 nt
Filed under: Marmota monax (woodchuck)
Lineage: Eukaryota; Metazoa; Chordata; Mammalia; Rodentia; Sciuridae
Source: RNAcentral